AACGCACCUUGCGCUCCUUGGUAUUCCGAGGAGCAUGCCUGUUUGAGUGUCAUGGUAUUCUCAAUCCAUCUGGUUCUGUCACCGGAAUUAUGGUGGACUUGGAUGUGGAGGUUUUUGCUGGUCUUUGAUGAUCAGCUCCUCUGAAAUGCAUCAGCAUAAACACUUUGCUGCUCUCAGUGUGAUAAUUAUCUGCACUGUGGUAAAGCUCUUGAGUUAUUGCUUCUAAUUGUCUGUUUGCUCAGACAACUUUCAUUGACAUCUGACCUCAAAUCAGGUAGGACUACCCGCUGAACUUAA
RNAcentral lists this unclassified non-coding RNA (297 nucleotides) under uncultured fungus. RNAcentral's name for it is "partial contains 5.8S ribosomal RNA, internal transcribed spacer 2, and large subunit ribosomal RNA". The stretch from base 1 to 52 matches the Rfam family "5.8S ribosomal RNA", at positions 103 to 154 of the family's 154-position model. RNAcentral also lists the same sequence under 1 other name. The record is from RNAcentral. Lineage: Eukaryota; Fungi.